UGUAUCUAAUAUAGAUAGAGAUUUGCUUAGAGACGUGUCAAGUAAACUUGAUAUGGUAUUAAUAAACCAAUGUCGCAUCUUAAAUGAAAUAUUUCCUAAUGAAACUAAUGUAGAAAGACACGAAAAUUGUCCCCCUCUUCCAUUACGAGAUGAACAGUCAUUUGAACCAUUUAACGAAUUUUUGAAGGACAAAAUUGCAUAUUCUCAGUUUGUCAGUUACCUUAAUGGAUAUAUUCAUGACGAUACUGAUCAGUGGAAUGCUGCUACUUGUCUCAUGUCCACUGUAUUACACAAUGAGCUUGCAAGACAGGUUGGCUGGAAAGGAACUAAAGGAGUAAAAAUUUCUUUAUAGGUCAAGGAUCAAAGAAGCUUUGUUUUGUGCUAUAAUGAGCCGUUUCAAAAAUCAGUCAUUGAAGAGUGCUGAAGAAUCUAUGAAGUGCUGGUUGAACACUUCUGGUCAACGUAAAUAAAAAAAUAAUUUUUCUCACAUUUUGGUUUUAAUCAAUCUUUUUAAUUUUUGUUAUUGCAAUACAUUAAAGAUCAA
Molecule: long non-coding RNA, 544 nt
Organism: Wasmannia auropunctata (little fire ant)
Lineage: Eukaryota; Metazoa; Arthropoda; Insecta; Hymenoptera; Formicidae
Exons: 3
Source: RefSeq, a predicted model, not a curated record